AGACGUUAAGGCCACGCCCCGGGCCACUCCCCCCUCGUCGGGCUGCGGCCUCCCAGUCUCCUCGGCCACACCCCCCUUCCCAACUACUUAAAAGGACACUCCAAAGCUCACGUUUCCUUGCUCUGUAUCGGGGUGUUCUUGUCUGGGUAUCUCUACCCGCUUACGGUGGAAUGGUUGCGCCCUUCGGGUAGCCAAGCAAGCCUCCAAGCAUAAGUCAGGUCGGACCAGGAUGAGAGAGAGGUUUCGGGCAGUUGUUUUACUUCCUGCUUGGCGCACGAAUUGUGGCCCCCUCGUUUCACGAGCCUGGGGAACUUCACUGGAGCUUCAGAUGGGGAUGAUGCAUUCUGCAAGGUACAGGUUACCGUGAGGAUUAAAUGAGAUAAUAUGGGAAGCACUGAAUGCCUGAUACACUGGAGGUGCUCAAUAAAUAUGACUUUCCUCAUCAACCUUGCCCUCUGCAUCCAUCAUCUGCCCAGUUCCCCAGGCCAGGAACCUGAGGUCAUCCAAGACACCUUCUCCCCACUCCUCCCCACUCCCCAAUCCAUCCUGAAGCCAAGUGGCUGUUCCCCUCACAAGUAUUUGUCAAGCCUUUUCAUUCUUCCGGUUCCCACUGCUGCUAUCUGGGAG
Molecule: long non-coding RNA, 627 nt
Organism: Bos taurus (domestic cattle)
Lineage: Eukaryota; Metazoa; Chordata; Mammalia; Artiodactyla; Bovidae
Source: Ensembl